Molecule: ribosomal RNA, 253 nt
Filed under: uncultured bacterium
Lineage: Bacteria
Description: partial 16S ribosomal RNA
Rfam family: Bacterial small subunit ribosomal RNA
Source: RNAcentral
UACGUAGGCAGCAAGCGUUGUUCGGAGUUACUGGGCGUAAAGGGUGCGUAGGCGGCUUCUUAAGUCUGGUGUGAAAUCUCCCGGCUCAACUGGGAGGGUGCGCCGGAUACUGAGGGGCUAGAGUGUGGGAGAGGAAAGUGGAAUUCCUGGUGUAGCGGUGGAAUGCGUAGAUAUCAGGAGGAACACCGGUGGUGUAAACGGCUUUCUGGACCAUAACUGACGCUGAGGCACGAAAGCGUGGGUAGCAAACAGG